This 502-nucleotide ribosomal RNA is filed under the name uncultured bacterium. RNAcentral's name for it is "partial 16S ribosomal RNA". It matches the Rfam family "Bacterial small subunit ribosomal RNA", at positions 28 to 523 of the family's 1533-position model. The record is from RNAcentral.
GAUGAACGCUAGCGGCAGGCCUAACACAUGCAAGUCGAGGGGCAGCACAGAAACAGCAAUGUUUUGGUGGCGACCGGCGGACGGGUGCGUAACGCGUAUGCAACCUACCUUUAACAGGGGGAUAACGGAGAGAAAUUUCCACUAAUACCCCAUAACAUCGAUCAAGGCAUCUUGAUUGGUUGAAAACUCCGGUGGUUAAAGAUGGGCAUGCGUUGUAUUAGGUAGUUGGUGAGGUAAUGGCUCACCAAGCCUACGAUACAUAGGGGGACUGAGAGGUUAGCCCGCCACACUGGUACUGAGGCACGGACCAGACUCCUACGGGAGGCAGCAGUGAUGAAUAUUGGUCAAUGGGGGCAACCCUGAACCAGCCAUGCCGCGUGCAGGAAGACGGCUCUAUGAGUUGUAAACUGCUUUUAAACAGGGAUAAAGCACAGUAUGUAUACUGUGUUGAAGGUACUGUAAGAAUAAGGAUCGGCUAACUCCGUGCCAGCCGCCGCGGUAA